RNAcentral lists this long non-coding RNA (7462 nucleotides) under Glycine max (soybean). RNAcentral's name for it is "long non-coding RNA (GMAX_LNC004044)". Lineage: Eukaryota; Viridiplantae; Streptophyta; Magnoliopsida; Fabales; Fabaceae. The record is from RNAcentral.
GAUGUUCAAUUUUAUGUUGAGGUUAUGGACAUGGUCCAGAAUGUUGGAGGUGGAAAGAGAUCUGCCUAUGACCCUGAUGAGCUUGAAGAAGAACAACGGGAGCGAGAUAGGAAGAACAAAAUUAAUGUAGAAUUCCAAACCUUUGUGAAUCGGCUGAAUGAUCUCUGGGGGCAACCUCAAUUCAAUGGCCUUGACCUGGAGUUUGACCAACCUCUUAGAGAGCUUGGCUUCCCUGGGGUGCCUCAUAAAUCUUCAGUAUUUAUUGUACCUACUUCUGCCUGCCUUGUUGAACUGAUAGAGACCCCUUUCCUUGUUGUCACGCUUAGUGAGAUUGAGAUUGUUAAUCUUGAGAGAGUUGGACUUGGGCAGAAAAACUUUGAUAUGACAGUAGUUUUUAAGGACUUCAAGAGGGAUGUCCUCAGGAUUGAUUCUAUCCCUUCUACAUCACUGGAUGGCAUCAAGGAGUGGCUUGACACAACAGACAUCAAAUAUUAUGAGAGCAGGCUGAAUCUGAACUGGCGUCAGAUCCUGAAGACAAUCACGGAUGACCCUCAGAGCUUUAUUGAAGGUGGUGGUUGGGAGUUUCUGAAUUUGGAAGCUACUGAUUCAGAAUCUGAGAACUCAGAGGAGUCAGAUAAAGGUUACGAACCAUCUGAUGUGGAACCUGAAUCUGAUUCGGAGGAUGAAGCUUCUGAUAGUGAAUCACUUGUUGAGUCAGAGGAUGAUGGCGAGGAAGAUUCCGAGGAAGAUUCAGAGGAAGAGAAGGGAAAGACGUGGGAAGAACUGGAGAGGGAAGCAAGCAAUGCAGAUCGGGAGAAAGGGAAUGAGUCUGACAGUGAAGAAGAUAGGAAAAGAAGAAAGGCAAAAAGCUUUGGUAAGUCAAGAGGAGCCGGUCUAAGUAGUAGCAUGACAAAGCGGCCCAAGUUAAGAUAGAUUUUUGCUCUUUUUCUUAACUGGUUUAUGGUUUAGUUCAGUUACUCUAUGUAUGUUGUUGCCUGCGGUAGCAGCUUUUGCGUUUGUAGGAGUAGUCUCAUGAUUGUAAGGUAGGGUUUUUCUUUUUAUAUUAUAGUUCAGCCACUUGAUAGCAAUUCUUGCAUCCAAUGUAUGGCCUUAAAAAUUUACGUGCUUUACUCAUUUAAUGACUUCUUAAUUUUGUUUCUUAUUAUUAGAUCUAACAUUUUUUGUGCGCUUUUUUGUUUAUAUUUUUUUUCCUGCUGGCUGUUUUCUUUGUUAGAAAGCGGGUGAAACAUGCAGGUUAAAUUAUCACAAAACCAAUUGGAAUUUAGCAUAUUGAAUUAUGUUUUCUUUGGAAUUUUAUUUGAAACCUGAUAAUAUUUCAUUAAUUAUUGGUCCUUUCUUGAGGUGGAUCAAAGCUUCUUCUCUCCUCAUAUGUUCACUAUUCAAAAGCUGUUAAAUGUUGGUGCUUUUUCUACUUUUUAUUAUGUUUUCUGUUUAUUUUUUAAAAUAAUUUUAAAUUGUUUUGCUUUUUUAAUUCUCCCGCUCUUUUCAUUAGUGAUUUGUGAGUGAAUUCAUUUCAUCCCCAUGGUGGUUUGAGCCAUGUUGGCUAAAUUUUGGCUCACUACUACUAAAGUGAGCCAACCACUGAUCUGAAAGUUUUGACUACAGGUGCGUGAAGAGCCACAGCUUUAGCUUGAACUGGUAACUAGUAAGUCCCCACAUUUUGGGAUUCUUAUCCAAAUAGUAUUGUGACAUGGAUAUGACAUGAGACAAACCUAGUUGUUUUGUAUGCGUCUUAAAAUUUCACCCUCGUAGUAGUAGGUCAUUAAGUCUUAUGGAACUUGCCUCUGUCUUGGAUAGCAUUGAGCUAUCUAUCAAAUAUUUUCCUUUUCCUUUUACGACAUGGGAGAAUUCAUAGGGAUGAGUAAAUUACUGUUACAGGCAUUGUUUUAUUCAUCCGAUUGGGAUGGUUUUGGGUUGAUUGGAUUUGAGAUGUUAUUAGGUGACUAAAGGAGUAAUGAAGGAAAUAAAUAAUCUUUAGAAAAGUCAACUUUUUUAAAAGAAAGUCAAAAAAUAAUAUGUAAGAUAUGACUAAAGUGAAGGAAAAAUCUUACUUAAAAUAAUACCUCUAAUAAUAAUAUUUUUUCUGGAGUAUUAUAUAUAAAAAUAUAUUUAAAUAUGAUUUAAAUAUAUUUUUGGUGUUUAUAAUUUAGUGAUUUUUUUAUUUUUAGUUCUUGUAAAAUUAUCGUUUUAUUUUUAAUUAUUAUAAGUUAUAUUUGUUUUGUUUUUAAUUCUUAAUACACUUUAAAUAAUAUUUUAAAUAAUAAAAAAAUGUUAUCAAAGAGUCACAAAAACAAAAAAUAAAAAAAAUAAUUUUUUAAGAGUUAAAAAUCAAAAAAUACUAAAUUUCAACAUUUAAAUCUUUAAAUAUUUAUUGACAUACAUUUAUUAAAAUUUAAACUAAAUAAUUAAUAAAAGAUUAAAAAUUUAAAAUAAUAUAAAGAAUGAACUGAAGAGAAUAACAAUUUUACAAAACAAUUUUAUCAUCAUUAAUUCAUUUUAAGUUUUUAUUGCUUAUAUAAUUAAUACUAUAAAAAAAUAUAAAUAAAAAAUUAUAAUUAAUGUUAGUAUUAAAAUAAUAUUAUUUUAAAACAAAUUUUUAUCCUACUUGACUAUUAUUAUUGGAUCGAGUAUUAUAGACAUUUAUUAUUGUUAAAUAUUUUCUUAUUUUUGUUUAUGCCAUGUGCCUCAACUUUCUAUGAUGAUGAUAUAAUCAUUCUUACCAGAUGAACCCUAAUUUCCAUCCUUUCGAUCUUCCCUUCUUCUCCUUCUCCUUCAUCUUUUUUGGUCGAUGCUCCAUCUCAACCACACCGCACAGAGAGUAUAUAUUUAUGUGUGUGUGUGUGCAUUGAAACUCUGAUCUUCGACCCCACCCAAUUUUACUGCCCCAAAUUCAGUCUCAUAAAUCCCCAAAUUAAGGAGGAAAAAGAAAGCACGAAAAGCUCUCGCUCACCCCCAGACAGACGCAAAGUGACCGAAAAGGUUUUGAUCUUUCCAUUUUUGGGAUUUAAUAUUGGUUUUCAUUUUUCCACUGUGAUUUUAGAAUCAUGAAGCUCUAAUUUCGUGGUAGAAAGUAAAAGCCAUUUUUUUUUUCUGUUUUACUAUUUAAAAAAAUUGAUAUUUAGGAAUUAUUGGGUUAAUGAGUGGAAUUCGUGAUUUGUUCAUCAUACAGUUAUGUAAAAGACUCGGCAAUUCAUUGGGGCGCUAUUUUCUUAAUCUCUCUUCGAAUUGCAUGUGUGGCUGUGGCAGAGGUGACUUGCUGUUCUCAAGCCUUCAAGGAAAAGUUGUGUGGUUUGUAUUUUCUUCUAAAUCUCGCAUUCUAUGUUUUUGUAUUAAUGCUCAAGUGGCUGGACCUUCAUUUGAGUAUUUUAAAUUUGUGGCAUAUUUCCUUAUUUCCAAAUCUCUCUGUUUACUGAUUUGCAUGGUAUCCAUGUCCGGAAUUUCAUAUAUAAAGCAUGAAAGCAAACACUCCCGUAGGUAUUGAUUUAAGGGCUAUUAUACCGAGUUCGAGACUAUGAAAUUGCACAACUAGUGAAGUAAUGCUAUUUCCUUUCUUUUGUGUUCUCAUUUGUUAAAGUACAUGCUGACCUGCUAUUGUAAAUGUUAUAUCUAAAAUUAUUUGAUGCUUACUACUUUCAUUAUUUACUAAUUUUCUGGAUUUAAGGGUUAUACUUAAUUACUUAUUAUUAAUUUAAACUGUCUUAGAUGUGGGUUUGUGUUUUCGGAUUGUUUUUGUGCUCUUUUUUCUCUUAUAUGAAAAGGUCAGUAGAUUGCCCACUCCUAGAUCUUUUUCUUAGUAGCUUGUUUUGGAUCUUUAGUUUGUGCUGCUUAUUCAUUGUUUGUAUGCUUGUUCUUAUUCCUACACUCCAGUUCCCUCUUUUCCCCAAAUGUUGGGCAGUUCUUCAAGCAACAAAUUUUCUUUCAUAAAUGUCAGGCAAUCAUUAGUUUUGCACUUUUGCUGAUUGUGGCCAUUGAACAUUCCUCGAGCCUCAUUAUGUGGCUAUAUACCAUAUUUACUCGAUUAUUUUUCUUUCAAGUUGUUUAUCUGAGGCUGUACUGAAAGGUUGUAAAAGCAACCAAGUUAUCUUUCCCAUGGUUGUACAUUCAUUUUUUUCAAACAUGAUAUAAUUGGAGUUCAUUUUGCUCAAUGAUUCUGAUUUAGAUAGAUUUCUUAUAGCUUCUUUUGUUGCUACCAUAUUUUGAUAUUUUCAUAUAUUCUUUGGGUAUCACAUUCCAUUGUUACAGAUGGUGCUUAGAUCUACACUAUCCUGAAUAUUGCUAUUUCGAAAAGUAUGUUAGUUGGGGAAAUGAUAAUACUUUUGUCAUGAUUUACGUCUAUUCUUGGUAAUAUUUUCCAGUAGUUUCAUUUAUGCUGCACCAUCAUCUAUAGUGAUUGCAUGUUGCUUAUUUCUUUGCUUUGUUGAUCUUAACUCAGUACAAGCAGAUGGUACUUAUAAUUGUUAUAUUACAUUCUUCAAAGUUCAAUGUAUAAUUAGAGUUCAUUAUUUCAAACUUAUGGGUUUAUUUAUUCAUAUUCUUGGAUUUUAUAAUUUUGUUGUUUGUGUCUUGAGAUAUGGCCAAGGACAAAAAUGGAAGGGAUGGAGAUAACUAGGACUCCUUGUUCCGUUAAGCACCCACUGUUCCCAUGGCUAAAAAAGAACUGAAAAGUAUUUUGCAUCAGUAUUUUUUUGCUAAACUUCUUACUAAUGUUACUGUGCUUCUCUUGAUUUUUUUUUCCAGAGUGGUAGGAAAACUAUGGCAGACCAUCGAAAUGGAAGUACACAACCUCCUAAUGGAAAGACCAGUGCAGCAGGAUCCGCAUAUUCUAUUGAUCUGAAUGCAUUUCAAUCCCGAUUGAAAGCUUUUUAUGAGCACUGGGAUGAUCACAAAACAGAUUUGUGGGGCUCUUCUGAUGCAAUAGCAAUAGCAUGUCCUCCACCUUCAGAAGAUCUGCGAUACCUGAAAUCUACUGCUCUGAACUUAUGGCUGCUUGGAUUUGAGUUCCCUGAGACAAUUAUGGUUUUCAUGAAGAAGCAGAUCCAUAUCUUGUGCAGCCAAAAGAAGGCUUCUAUUCUUGAAUCUGUCAAAAAAUCUGCCAGAGAGGCAGUUGGUGCAGAUCUUGUUUUGCAUGUCAAACCUAAAAACGAUGAUGGAUCUGCUCUAAUGGAUGCUAUAUUCCGCGCCAUCCGUGCUCUGCCAAAGUCUGAUGACCAUGAUUCUUCCACUGUUGGAUACAUAUCAAGAGAGGCUCCUGAAGGGAAACUGCUUGAAACAUGGACUGAAAAAUUAAAAAAUACAAAAUUUCAACUAAUUGAUGUUGCCAAUGGGUUCUCUUAUUUGUUUGCGGCAAAGAGUAAUGAGGAGCUUACAUCAAUUAAGAGAGCAGCAUACCUCACCACCAGUGUGAUGAAAAACUUUGUGGUUACAAAACUUGAGAAUGUAAUAGAUGAGGAGAAGAAAAUCUCUCAUUCAACGUUGAUGGAGGAGACUGAGAAAGUUAUUCUGGAACCUUCAAAAGUCAAUUGUAAGCUAAAGGCAGAUAACGUUGAUAUUUGUUACCCCCCAAUUUUUCAGAGUGGUGGAGAGUUUGAUCUGAAGCCCAGUGCUGUCAGCAAUGAUGAGUUAUUGCAUUAUGAUUCUGCCAGCGUGAUUAUAUGUGCAGUUGGAGCUCGAUAUAAGAGUUAUUGCUCAAACAUAGCUAGGACCUUCUUGAUUGAUGCAGACCCUCUUCAAAGUAGGGCUUAUGAGGUUCUUCUGAAAGCCCAUGAAGCUGUCAUAGGUUCUAUGAAGCCUGGAAACAAGUUAAGUGUUGCAUACCAAGCUGCAGUUUCUGUUGUGGAAAGGGAUGCACCUGACUUGAUUUCAUAUUUGACAAAAUCUGCUGGGACAGGCAUCGGCAUUGAGUUUCGUGAAUCAGGAUUGAAUCUUAAUGCAAAAAAUGAACAGAUAAUUAGAGAAGGCAUGGUCUUUAACGUGUCACUUGGUUUUCAGAAUUUACAGUGUGAGAACAGUAAGUCUAAGAACAAGCAAUUCUCUUUGUUGCUUGCUGACACAGUCAUCAUCACCAAAGAUAAGACAGAAAUUGUGACUUCUACAAGCUCAAAAGCUCUGAAGGAUGUAGCAUACUCUUUCAAUGAGGAUGAGGAAGAGGAAAGGCCAAGCACAAAAUCAGAUGCCAAGAAAGCGGAGCCCUUUAUGUGUAAGACAACUCUUAGGUCAGACAAUCAUGAAGUUUCAAAGGAGGAGCUUCGCAGGCAGCAUCAGGCAGAACUUGCUCGCCAGAAAAAUGAAGAAACUGCAAGGCGUCUUGCUGGUGGUGGAAGUGAAACAGGAGAAGCCCGUUCCUCUGCAAGGACUUCAGCAGAACUCAUGGCCUACAAAAACAUAAAUGACCUUCCCCCUCCCAGAGAGAUGAUGAUUCAGAUUGAUCAGAAGAAUGAAGCAGUUCUCUUGCCUAUAAAUGGAAGCAUGGUACCUUUUCAUGUGGCUUUCAUUCGAACUGUUUCCAGCCAGCAGGACACCAACCGCAAUUGCUAUGUCAGAAUUAUUUUUAAUGUUCCUGGGACUCCUUUCAGUCCUCAUGAUGCAAACUCAAUGAAGUUCCCUGGAUCUAUAUAUUUGAAGGAGGCGUCAUUCCGCUCCAAGGAUUCGAGGCACAUAAGUGAGGUUGUGCAGUCCAUUAAAACACUCAGGCGUCAAGUUGUAGCAAGGGAGUCUGAGAGAGCUGAGAGGGCAACCUUGGUUACUCAGGAGAAACUGCAACUUGCUAAUAAUAGGUUUAAGCCGAUAAGGUUAUCUGACCUUUGGAUCCGUCCUGCUUUUGGUGGGCGUGGGAGGAAGAUACCUGGUACACUUGAGGCUCAUGUUAAUGGAUUUCGUUAUUCUACCACUAGGCAAGAUGAGCGUGUAGACAUAAUGUUUGGCAACAUUAAGCAUGCAUUUUUCCAGCCAGCAGAGAAUGAAAUGAUCACUCUCCUACACUUCCAUCUGCACAACCAUAUUAUGGUAGGAAAUAAAAAGACCAAGGAUGUUCAAUUUUAUGUUGAGGUUAUGGACAUGGUCCAGAAUGUCGGGGGUGGUAAGAGGUCAGCCUAUGAUCCUGACGAGCUUGAAGAAGAACAACGAGAGCGACAGAGGAAGAACAAAAUUAAUGUAGAAUUCCAAACCUUUGUGAAUCGGGUGAAUGAUCUCUGGGGGCAACCUCAAUUCAAUGGCUUUGACCUGGAGUUUGACCAACCUCUUAGAGAGCUUGGCUUCCCUGGGGUGCCUCAUAAAUCUUCAGUAUUUAUUGUACCUACUUCUGCCUGCCUUGUUGAACUGAUAGAGACCCCUUUCCUUGUUGUCACGCUUAGUGAGAUUGAGAUUGUUAAUCUUGAGAGAGUUGGACUUGGGCAGAAAAACUUUGAUAUGACAGUAGUUUUUAAGGACUUCAAGAGGGAUGUCC